Molecule: unclassified non-coding RNA, 223 nt
Filed under: Hevea brasiliensis (rubber tree)
Lineage: Eukaryota; Viridiplantae; Streptophyta; Magnoliopsida; Malpighiales; Euphorbiaceae
Source: RNAcentral
AUUUUGGAUACACUUAAAAUAAGUUUUGAUGGAUUAGAGGAUACAGAAAAACAAAUAUUCCUAGAUAUAGCAUGUUUCUUCAAAGGAAAGGACAAAGAUCUUGUAACAAAGAUAAUGGAUGGUUGUCAUUUUUACCCCGAUAUUGGAAUAAGAGUUCUAAUUGAUAAAUCUCUUAUAAGCAUUAUUGGUCAAAGGUUAUUGAUGCAUGAUUUGCUACAAGAAA